CCUACGGGAGGCAGCAGUGGGGGAUAUUGCACAAUGGGGGAAACCCUGAUGCAGCGACGCCGCGUGUGGGAAGACGGUCCUCUGGAUUGUAAACCACUGUCGCCAGGGACGAAGAUGACGGUACCUGGGGCGCAAGCUCCGGCAAACAACGUGCCAGCAGCCGCGGUAAUACGUAGGGAGCGAGCGUUGUCCGGAAUUACUGGGUGUACAGGGAGCGUAGGCGGGGAUGAAAGUUGGGUGUCAAAACUACCGGCUCAACUGGUAGUCGCACUCAAAACUGCAGCUCUUGAGUGAAGUAGAGGCAGGCGGAAUUCCUAGUGUAGCGGUGAAAUGCGUAGAUAUUAGGAGGAACACCAGUGGCGAAGGCGGCCUGCUGGGCUGUGACUGACGCUGAGGCUCGAAAGUGUGGGGAGCAAACAGGAUUAGAUACCCUUGUAGUC
RNAcentral lists this ribosomal RNA (440 nucleotides) under uncultured bacterium. RNAcentral describes it as "partial 16S ribosomal RNA". It matches the Rfam family "Bacterial small subunit ribosomal RNA", at positions 338 to 795 of the family's 1533-position model. The record is from RNAcentral.